GCCGCGAACCGCAGUUGUUUGCAGCAGCCGGCUCCUCCGCGCACCCCACUCUCGUCGGUAGGGUGUCCAAACGCCGGAACACGGCUCGCGGUAGAACACCGUUUCACUGUUUUGUUUGCAAAGAAGGUGGCCCAUCAAACUCAUUUCUUUGAUUUGCCACGCAGCCGCGUGCAUUCGUUGAUAUGUGCCUGUGUGGGCAUAUGUGUAUGUGAGCGUCGUGUUUGAUGUGAUCACACUCUGUUACUUUUGAAAAGGCCGUGUAACGUCUCCUCUCGUGUCUGUGUGCGUGUGAGCACACCUUUCUCAGGCUCCCCUUGCGCAGUCUCCGUGAGGCAGUGGAAUAUCUAUGCCUGGUGUCACAGCGACCAGUGCACCCCCUUCCCCGACUCUGUGUACGGGAAGAAGCCAAGCAGCCCCUCCUCCAUCCCCUGCCAAUGCAGCGCUGCACUUCCUCUGGUGCUGACAGGGUCCACGUGCCCACGACGUAGGGAAUCCAGUGCGCUGCAUCGCGACGGAUGUCGGCGGUGUGUCAGGUCCUGGAUGGCGUUGCGUCGGAGCGGCCUGCGGCAGUGCCGACGCGUCUGCGCGGCUCCAGCGCAUCCGUCACCCGGCCCUCACCACCGCCUGCUGGUGUGGGGAGCCUGAGCGCCACCCCCUCCCUCUCCGAGGAGGGAUGCCGCAGGUGGCGGCCGGCAUGAUGGGAGCGGCUGUGAGGCGGCCUGCGAGGCAGCGGGGGGGGCGGGAGGAGGUCGGUGGAGCUUGAGGCAGGGGGGCCGUGCUCUCGGAUGGCUGAGUCGGCGCGUUGCCGCAAAGCGUGUGUGCCGCGCUGCGUCGCAGGACUCGGUGAGGCCUGUGGCCGGCCAGAGGGCGUGUGUGUGUGUGUGUGUGUGGAGUGGCGUUGACGUCAUGGCUGGUGGCAGAGAAAAAGAUGCGUUUUCGUCACCGAUAAAACGGUACACUCCCGCACAUUCUUGGGCACCCUCUCGGUUAUCCGCGUUCUGUUUUUCUGUGAUUGCGCGUACGCGUGUCUAUGUGGCAAAG
This 1041-nucleotide unclassified non-coding RNA is filed under the name Leishmania donovani. RNAcentral describes it as "gene:unknown". The record is from RNAcentral. Lineage: Eukaryota; Euglenozoa; Kinetoplastea; Trypanosomatida; Trypanosomatidae.